CACGUAAAAUGCAAGCGUUAAUCGGAAUUACUGGACGUAAAGCGUGCGCAGGCGGCUUUGCAAGACAGAUGUGAAAUCCCCGAGCUCAACCUGGGAACUGCAUUUGUGACUGCAAGGCUGGAGUACGGUAGAGGGGGAUGGAAUUCCGCGUGUAGCAGUGAAAUGCGUAGAUAUGCGGAGGAACACCGAUGGCGAAGGCAAUCCCCUGGACCUGUACUGACGCUCAUGCACGAAAGCGUGGGGAGCAAACAGG
RNAcentral lists this ribosomal RNA (253 nucleotides) under uncultured bacterium. Its description in RNAcentral is "partial 16S ribosomal RNA". It matches the Rfam family "Bacterial small subunit ribosomal RNA", at positions 524 to 776 of the family's 1533-position model. The record is from RNAcentral.